Molecule: ribosomal RNA, 253 nt
Filed under: uncultured bacterium
Lineage: Bacteria
Description: partial 16S ribosomal RNA
Rfam family: Bacterial small subunit ribosomal RNA
Source: RNAcentral
UACAGAGGUCUCAAGCGUUGGUCGGAUUCAUUGGGCGUAAAGGGUGCGUAGGUGGCAUGGUAAGUCGGAUGUGAAAUCCCGGGGCUCAACCCCGGAACUGCAUUCGAUACUGCUGCGCUAGAGUACUGGAGAGGAGAUUGGAAUUUACGGUGUAGCGGUGAAAUGCGUAGAUAUCGUAAGGAAGACCAGUGGCGAAGGCGGGUCUCUGGACAGUUCCUGACGCUGAGGCACGAAGGUCAGGGGAGCAAACGGG